GAUGAACGCUAGCUACAGGCUUAACACAUGCAAGUCGAGGGGCAGCAUUUUAGUUUGCUUGCAAACUGAAGAUGGCGACCGGCGCACGGGUGAGUAACACGUAUCCAACCUGCCGAUAACUCCGGGAUAGCUUUUCGAAAGAAAGAUUAAUACCGGAUAGUAUACGAAUAUCGCAUGAUAUUUUUAUUAAAGAAUUUCGGUUAUCGAUGGGGAUGCGUUCCAUUAGUUUGUUGGCGGGGUAACGGCCCACCAAGACUACGAUGGAUAGGGGUUCUGAGAGGAAGGUCCCCCACAUUGGAACUGAGACACGGUCCAAACUCCUACGGGAGGCAGCAGUGAGGAAUAUUGGUCAAUGGGCGCGAGCCUGAACCAGCCAAGUAGCGUGAAGGAUGAAGGCUCUAUGGGUCGUAAACUUCUUUUAUAUGGGAAUAAAGUUUUCCACGUGUGGAAUUUUGUAUGUACCAUAUGAAUAAGGAUCGGCUAACUCCGUGCCAGCAGCCGCGGUAAUACGGAGGAUCCGAGCGUUAUCCGGAUUUAUUGGGUUUAAAGGGAGCGUAGGUGGAUUGUUAAGUCAGUUGUGAAAGUUUGCGGCUCAACCGUAAAAUUGCAGUUGAAACUGGCAGUCUUGAGUACAGUAGAGGUGGGCGGAAUUCGUGGUGUAGCGGUGAAAUGCUUAGAUAUCACGAAGAACUCCGAUUGCGAAGGCAGCUCACUAGACUGUCACUGACACUGAUGCUCGAAAGUGUGGGUAUCAAACAGGAUUAGAUACCCUGGUAGUCCACACAGUAAACGAUGAAUACUCGCUGUUUGCGAUAUACAGUAAGCGGCCAAGCGAAAGCAUUAAGUAUUCCACCUGGGGAGUACGCCGGCAACGGUGAAACUCAAAGGAAUUGACGGGGGCCCGCACAAGCGGAGGAACAUGUGGUUUAAUUCGAUGAUACGCGAGGAACCUUACCCGGGCUUAAAUUGCAACAGAAUAUAUUGGAAACAGUAUAGCCGUAAGGCUGUUGUGAAGGUGCUGCAUGGUUGUCGUCAGCUCGUGCCGUGAGGUGUCGGCUUAAGUGCCAUAACGAGCGCAACCCUUAUCUUUAGUUACUAACAGGUUAUGCUGAGGACUCUAGAGAGACUGCCGUCGUAAGAUGUGAGGAAGGUGGGGAUGACGUCAAAUCAGCACGGCCCUUACGUCCGGGGCUACACACGUGUUACAAUGGGGGGUACAGAAGGCGGCUACCUGGUGACAGGAUGCUAAUCCCAAAAACCUCUCUCAGUUCGGAUCGAAGUCUGCAACCCGACUUCGUGAAGCUGGAUUCGCUAGUAAUCGCGCAUCAGCCAUGGCGCGGUGAAUACGUUCCCGGGCCU
RNAcentral lists this ribosomal RNA (1359 nucleotides) under uncultured bacterium. Its description in RNAcentral is "bacterial SSU rRNA". It matches the Rfam family "Bacterial small subunit ribosomal RNA", at positions 28 to 1381 of the family's 1533-position model. The record is from RNAcentral.